This 392-nucleotide ribosomal RNA is filed under the name uncultured bacterium. RNAcentral's name for it is "bacterial SSU rRNA". It matches the Rfam family "Bacterial small subunit ribosomal RNA", at positions 28 to 428 of the family's 1533-position model. The record is from RNAcentral.
GACGAACGCUGGCGGCGUGCUUAACACAUGCAAGUCGAACGGUGAAGCCUUCGGGUGGAUCAGUGGCGAACGGGUGAGUAACACGUGAGCAAUCUGCCCUUGACUCUGGGAUAACUUCGGGAAACCGGAGCUAAUACCGGAUAUGACAUCUGGCCGCAUGGUCUGGGUGUGGAAAGAUUUAUCGGUCAGGGAUGAGCUCGCGGCCUAUCAGCUUGUUGGUGGGGAAUGGCCCACCAAGGCGACGACGGGUAGCCGGCCUGAGAGGGCGACCGGCCACACUGGGACUGAGACACGGCCCAGACUCCUACGGGAGGCAGCAGUGGGGAAUAUUGCGCAAUGGGCGAAAGCCUGACGCAGCGACGCCGCGUGAGGGAUGAAGGCCUCGGUCGUAA